Molecule: ribosomal RNA, 244 nt
Filed under: uncultured Ralstonia sp.
Lineage: Bacteria; Pseudomonadati; Pseudomonadota; Betaproteobacteria; Burkholderiales; Burkholderiaceae
Description: partial 16S ribosomal RNA
Rfam family: Bacterial small subunit ribosomal RNA
Source: RNAcentral
AGUAAUACAUCGGAACGUGCCCUGUAGUGGGGGAGUAACUAGUCGAAAGAUUAGCUAAUACCGCAUACGACCUGAGGGUGAAAGUGGGGACCGCAAGGCCUCAUGCUAUAGGAGCGGCCGAUGUCUGAUUAGCUAGUUGGUGGGGUAAAGGCCUACCAAGGCGACGAUCAGUAGCUGGUCUGAGAGGACGAUCAGCCACACUGGGACUGAGACACGGCCCAGACUCCUACGGGAGGCAGCAGCG